GAGGGUAUAGCUUGGUGGCAGAGCACGUGCUUAGCAGGCACAAGGUCCUGGGUUCAAUUCCCAGGACCUCCA
RNAcentral lists this transfer RNA (72 nucleotides) under Camelus bactrianus (Bactrian camel). It matches the Rfam family "tRNA". From Rfam's summary of the family: Transfer RNA (tRNA) molecules are approximately 80 nucleotides in length. Their secondary structure includes four short double-helical elements and three loops (D, anti-codon, and T loops). Further hydrogen bonds mediate the characteristic L-shaped molecular structure. tRNAs have two regions of fundamental functional importance: the anti-codon, which is responsible for specific mRNA codon recognition, and the 3' end, to which the tRNAs corresponding amino acid is attached (by aminoacyl-tRNA synthetases). tRNAs cope with the degeneracy of the genetic code in two manners: having more than one tRNA (with a specific anti-codon) for a particular amino acid; and 'wobble' base-pairing, i.e. permitting non-standard base-pairing at the 3rd anti-codon position. Lineage: Eukaryota; Metazoa; Chordata; Mammalia; Artiodactyla; Camelidae. The record is from Rfam by way of RNAcentral. RNAcentral also lists the same sequence under 2 other names.